Molecule: long non-coding RNA, 869 nt
Filed under: Gallus gallus (chicken)
Lineage: Eukaryota; Metazoa; Chordata; Aves; Galliformes; Phasianidae
Description: lncRNA (ENSGALG00010023705.1)
Source: RNAcentral
GUUUGAGCUCAGCUGAGCUGGAAGGAUGGAUUUACUUUGAUGGGUUUCCAGCCCUCAGACUGAUGCACCUCCACAAAGAUGACCUAGCACCUGUCUGGAGGAGCAAAGCUUGGUGUUAAGACGCAGGGCGAGGAGCGAAGGGGAAGAGCGCACGCCAAGGUCACAUCUGCAGCAGCAGCGACGGCAGCUGCACAGCAGCGAUAUUAAACCUCCCUCUGGUGUAGGAUACACACACAGACACUUCUUAAGAGCAACAACGAUCCACAUGAAUUGGAGCAGUCCCCAGAGGAGAGCUGCGUGGCUGGCGUGGCAGGGGGUGACUGAAGGGCACACAGUGAGGGUGGGAGCAGCGUGCCCGGCUGUAGAUGAGAGAUUCUCAGCUUUAUCACCCCCAAGUUUGGCAGUGAUUUGCAACUGGGGAGACGCUCAGCUCACCGCUUGCAAGGAAGCAGUGUGACCUGUGCCAAGAAGCAACGAGCAUCAGAAGGUGGAUAUUUCAAGUGAGCGGAACGAAGAUUAUCUACUUUUGUUGCUGCUUUUAAAGCAUAGUAGGAGGCAUCAGCUCUCCCACCUCUCUACUGGUACUCACUGUACCUCCUGGCUUCUCUGUCCAAAGCUGCUGGGGGCAAUGGCACCUUCCAGCAACUCCCUGCGAGCUGGAAACCUCCAGAGAAGCGGAGCAGAGCUGGAACACAAGGAGAUAACGGAGCUCGAGCCCAUUCAAAGCUGCCCGGGUGUCUGUGAGGGUGUAAUGCUCAGCACCAUCUAGUGGUCGUCACCUGCGGCUAUUCGCUCACACAACGCCACAAACGGGGCCUGUUUGAUUUACAGCACUUUUCUUCCCCAUAGCCAAUCUGUCAAGAGACGUG